This 252-nucleotide ribosomal RNA is filed under the name uncultured bacterium. RNAcentral describes it as "partial 16S ribosomal RNA". It matches the Rfam family "Bacterial small subunit ribosomal RNA", at positions 524 to 776 of the family's 1533-position model. The record is from RNAcentral.
UACGUAGGGUGCGAGCGUUGUCCGGAAUUAUUGGGCGUAAAGAGCUUGUAGGCGGUUUGUCGCGUCUGCUGUGAAAAUCCGGGGCUCAACCCCGGACUUGCAGUGGGUACGGGCAGGCUAGAGUGUGGUAGGGGAGACUGGAAUUCCUGGUGUAGCGGUGAAAUGCGCAGAUAUCAGGAGGAACACCGAUGGCGAAGGCAGGUCUCUGGGCCACUACUGACGCUGAGAAGCGAAAGCAUGGGAGCGAACAGG